AUUGAACGCUGGCGGCAUGCCUUACACAUGCAAGUCGAACGGCAGCACGGGAGCAAUCCUGGUGGCGAGUGGCGAACGGGUGAGUAAAGUAUCGGAACGUGCCCAGUCGUGGGGGAUAACGUAGCGAAAGUUACGCUAAUACCGCAUACGAUCUAUGGAUGAAAGCGGGGGAUCGCAAGACCUCGCGCGAUUGGAGCGGCCGAUAUCAGAUUAGGUAGUUGGUGGGGUAAAGGCCCACCAAGCCGACGAUCUGUAGCUGGUCUGAGAGGACAACCAGGCACACUGGGACUGAUACACGGCCCAUACUCCUACGGGAGGCAGCAGUGGGGAAUUUUGGACAAAGGGCGAAAGCCUGAUCCAGCCAUGCCGCGUGCAGGAUGAAGGCCUUCGGGUUGUAAACCGCUUUUGUACGGAACGAAAAGGUUUGGCCUAAUAAGCUGAGCUCAUGACGGUACCGUAAGAAUAAGCACCGGCUAACUGCGUGCCAGCCGCCGCAGUAA
Molecule: ribosomal RNA, 500 nt
Filed under: uncultured bacterium
Lineage: Bacteria
Description: partial 16S ribosomal RNA
Rfam family: Bacterial small subunit ribosomal RNA
Source: RNAcentral